GUGGGGAAUUUUGGACAAUGGGCGCAAGCCUGAUCCAGCAAUGCCGCGUGUGUGAAGAAGGCCUUCGGGUUGUAAAGCACUUUUGGCAGGAAAGAAAUAGCGCGUGCUAAUACCAUGCGCGAAUGACGGUACCUGCAGAAUAAGCACCGGCUAACUACGUGCCAGCAGCCGCGGUAAGACGUAGGGUGCAAGCGUUAAUCGGAAUUACUGGGCGUAAAGCGUGCGCAGGCGGUUUUGUAAGACAGGUGUGAAAUCCCCGGGCUCAACCUGGGAACUGCACUUGUGACUGAAAGGCUAGAGUGUGUCAGAGUGAGGUGGAAUUCCGCGUGUAGCAGUGAAAUGCGUAGAGAUGCGGAGGAACACCGAUGGCGAAGGCAGCCUCCUGGGAUAACACUGACGCUCAGGCACGAAAGCGUGGGGAGCAAACAGGAUUAGAUACCCCAGUAGUCC
Molecule: ribosomal RNA, 450 nt
Filed under: uncultured bacterium
Lineage: Bacteria
Description: partial 16S ribosomal RNA
Rfam family: Bacterial small subunit ribosomal RNA
Source: RNAcentral